UACGUAGGUGGCGAGCGUUGUCCGGAAUUACUGGGUGUAAAGCGCGCGUAGGCGGGAGGCCAAGUCCGCUGUGAAAUCGCCCGGCUCAACUGGGCGCGGUCGGUGGAAACUGGUCACCUGGAGGACGGUAGAGGCGAGUGGAAUUCCCGGUGGAGCGGUGAAAUGCGUAGAGAUUGGGAGGAACACCAAAGGCGAAAGCACUCUGCUGGGCCGCAACUGACACUGAGAGACGAAAGCGAGGGGAGCAAAUGGG
This 253-nucleotide ribosomal RNA is filed under the name uncultured bacterium. RNAcentral's name for it is "partial 16S ribosomal RNA". It matches the Rfam family "Bacterial small subunit ribosomal RNA", at positions 524 to 776 of the family's 1533-position model. The record is from RNAcentral.